UGAAUACGAGAUGCUACGGCGUCGAAGCAGUCUAUGUCAUACUUCCAAGAAAAGCUCGCACUGUCAUAAACAAAUAAUGCCUGUACCAUAACCGACACAGGUGGGUAGGUAGAGUAUACUAAGGGGCGCGAGAUAACUCUCUCUAAGGAACUCGGCAAAAUGACUCCGUAACUUCGGGAGAAGGAGUGCCUUAUUUAUAAGGUUGCAAUAACAAGAUCCAAGCAACUGUUUAUCAAAAACACAGGUCUCCGCUAAGUCGUAAGACGAUGUAUGGGGGCUGACGCCUGCCCAGUGCCAGAAGGUUAAAGAAGUUGGUUAGCAUUCGCGAAGCUGAUAACUGAAGCCCUGGUGAACGGCGGCCGUAACAAUAACGGUCCUAAGGUAGCGAAAUUCCUUGUCGGGUAAGUUCCGACCCGCACGAAAGGCGUAAUGAUUUGGAUACUGUCUCGGAGAGGGGCUCGGUGAAAUAGACUUGUCUGUGAAGAUGCGGACUACCUGCACCAGGACAGAAAGACCCUAUGAAGCUUUACUGUAACUUGAGAUUGAAAUUGGACUUUACUUGCGCAGUAUAGGUGGGAGGCGUUGAUAAUAUUCUUGCGGGAUUAUUUGAGCCAUCAGUGAGAUACCACUCUUGUAAUGUUAGAUUUCUAACUUUGUAUCAUUAUCUGGUCAAAGGACAGUUUCAGGCGGGCAGUUUGACUGGGGCGGUCGCCUCCUAAACGGUAACGGAGGCGCACAAAGGUUUCCUCUGAACGGGUAGAAAUCGUAUCUAGAGUGUAAAGGCAUAAGGAAGCUUGACUGUGAGACCUACAAGUCGAGCAGGGACGAAAGUCGGUCUUAGUGAUCUGACGGUGCUGAGUGGAAAGGCCGUCACUCAACGGAUAAAAGUUACUCUAGGAUAACAGGCUGAUCUCCCCCAAGAGUUCACAUCGACGGGGAGGUUUGGCACCUCGAUGUCGGCUCAUCGCAUCCUGGGGCGGUAGUACGUCCCAAGGGUUGGGCUGUUCGCCCAUGAAAGCGGUACGCGAGCUGGGUUCAGAACGUCGUGAGACAGUUCGGUCCAUAUCCGGUGUAGGCGUUAGAAUAUUGAGAGGAGCCUUCUUUAGUACGAGAGGACCGAGAAGGACAUACCUCUGGUGUACCAGUUAUCGUGCCAACGGUAAACGCUGGGUAGCUAUGUAUGGAGUGGAUAACCGCUGAAAGCAUCUAAGUGGGAAGCCCACCUCAAGAUAAGUAUUCGC
This 1241-nucleotide ribosomal RNA is filed under the name metagenome. RNAcentral describes it as "bacterial LSU rRNA". It matches the Rfam family "Bacterial large subunit ribosomal RNA", at positions 1564 to 2815 of the family's 2925-position model. The record is from RNAcentral.